GACGAACGCUGGCGGCGUGCUUAACACAUGCAAGUGGAACGGAGUGGCGAACGGGGGAGUAACUCGUGGGGGAUCUGCCCUGCACUUCGGGAUAACCCCGGGAAACUGGGUCUAAUACCGGAUAGUGUGGGAUGGGCCCGCGGCCUAUCAGCUUGAUGGUGGGGUAAUGCCCUACCACGGCGGCGACGGGUCGCCGGCCUGAGAGGGUGGACGGCCACAUGAGUCCUGGGACACGGCCCAGACUGCUACGGGGGGCAGCGGUGGGGAGUCUUGCGCAGUGGGCGGACGCCUGAUGCAGAGACGCCGCGUGGGGGAUGUCGGCCUUCGGGUUGUAAACUCCUUUAUCCAUAGACGCGGUAGCUGGAGAAGAAGCACCGGCUAACUCCGUGCCAGCAGCCGCGGUAAUAC
Molecule: ribosomal RNA, 408 nt
Filed under: uncultured bacterium
Lineage: Bacteria
Description: partial 16S ribosomal RNA
Rfam family: Bacterial small subunit ribosomal RNA
Source: RNAcentral